UGACAAAUGCACACCUGCAACAGCUAUAAUUCCAACACAAACUUGUAAUUAAUAAUUAAUAUCUAACAUCUGAUUUCAGGAACUUUAAGCAAGUUCAAGUAUGAAAUAUGCUUAAGCCAUAAGCACACAAAGCAUUCAAGGUACAAAAUACAUCAUGUAAAUGGACAUGCUAAAGAAAGGACAAGUCACUGCCACAACAAUUGGUCUAAAAUCAUUUUUACAAAGUUCACAAAAUCAAAGGUCUCAAAUUCAGAAUAUCUUUUGUGACAAUAACAUCCAUUUUCUACCAGCCCUAGUCCCAUUCAGCACUUGUAUAGUUGUAUACCAAUUAUGUAAAUACAACUAACAUGAACAUAUAUCAAUUGCUAAACAAAGAUUCAUCAACAGGUAGAAGUAGAAGUAAUUACCAGUGUGCCUAAUGUAGAAGGGCA
Molecule: unclassified non-coding RNA, 431 nt
Filed under: Hevea brasiliensis (rubber tree)
Lineage: Eukaryota; Viridiplantae; Streptophyta; Magnoliopsida; Malpighiales; Euphorbiaceae
Source: RNAcentral